Molecule: long non-coding RNA, 939 nt
Filed under: Capsicum annuum
Lineage: Eukaryota; Viridiplantae; Streptophyta; Magnoliopsida; Solanales; Solanaceae
Description: long non-coding RNA (CANN_LNC007273)
Source: RNAcentral
GAAAGAAUUGGACUUCAAUGCCGCUUUCAAUCAAGUAUCAUUCGAUGAAAUGAGAUGGAGUCCGCGCCACAAACCUCGAAUCCAACUUCUACGAAAACCACCAACUCGAAUUAAAUCCCAAAAUAGUGAAUAAACCUAAAACCAGUCUUCUCAAAUCUAUACCCAAAAUCAAAUCAAAUCUGACUAAAAAUGGAACCCCAGACGAGAUUUUGUAUCUGUUUGAGCAGCGGAUAGAAUUUCGAUCAGAUUUUGAACUAGGAAACGAGGAAAAAAGUGACCUUUUGAUGUGAGUUCGGUCAGAGUGAAGCCGUUGAUGUUGUUUUCUGGUGGAUUUCAUUGUAGCAGUAACCACACAAUAACUUCUGGUGUUUUCUGAUAGCAAUUUCGGGGGGUGGCCGGAAAAAGUAGCCAGAUUCCUCUCUCUCUCUUUGUUUUUACCUUUUUCGCUUCUACUGUUCAACAAUUUCACUCUUUUUUUCUUCAUCGUCUCUCUGUGUGCGUGCUCCCUUUUAAUUUUUCAAUGAGUGUGCGCAUCUAUGGUUAGUGCAUAAAUCUAUGUUUUGUGUGUGCAGAGUGAGGUCUGUGUAUUGCGUCUAUGGAGUAUGUGUAUGGUAUUGACAAGAAGAAAGGGGAAGAAUCCCCGUCCCCCCUACUCCAGUGGUGCUCCCUACGUGUAUAUAUAUAUAUAUAUAUAUAUAUAUAUAUAUGUUGUUGAUGGUGUCUUCUCUUAAUGGGAUAAUUCAAUUUUGUAUUCUUUUCUUAUGAAAUCCAAAAUGGAGGGAAUAUGUGUAUAUCCUCUGUGGUUGUUCUAGUGAGCUCAAUUAUGGAUCCCCUUAUUGUUUUUACUGUGGGCCCCUUUAUGUGAGUGAUAGGUAGGGAGGUGAGGGCAUACGGGUAGAGGGAGAUGGGAGUAUUGGUGUGGGGUGUGAGGUGGGUGAG